Notolabrus celidotus (New Zealand spotty) is the source of this 505-nucleotide long non-coding RNA. RefSeq lists it as uncharacterized. NCBI's taxonomy places the organism in Eukaryota, Metazoa, Chordata, Actinopteri, Labriformes, Labridae. The transcript has 4 exons. The record is from RefSeq and is a predicted model, not a curated record.
AACAAGUAGUUCCGGGGGACAUUUUCUACAGCAGUCUUUCCCUGUGUGAGAGCAUGCUUUCCCAAGCCGCAAUCGCAGUGGUUGCAACUAACAUGCCUGGGAAAUGCAUUUUAAUGUGCAUAUUUUCGUGUCAGCAUUAUAAUACUUGACUUAACCUCGAAGAUGAGAUGGCAAAGGACUUUUAAUGCAAUGAGAUGCAUUUUUCAACGCGGUGUGUGUAGGCCGCAGAAGCUCGGAAAUAUGGAGGGCUCUUAAACUCGGAUCAGAUGUGAUGUUUGUGCGAGGAUUGCUCCUCUGCACGUGGGCAGGCAGUUGUGCAAGGCCUCCCCUCAUUUCACCAAUAAAAUGCGUGGUGGUGUCAGUGGAGCCUUGGAGAAGCCUCUUUAAUGCCGUGCUGAAGAAACUGACUAUUGUAAGUGUUGUGUACCAAGAAGCCCCAUUAAUGUACACAUUUAUUUGUAUUUGAUUAAAUUAACAUGAUCUAAAUAAAGCAUUUUUAAACAAA